Molecule: ribosomal RNA, 183 nt
Filed under: Triticum aestivum (bread wheat)
Lineage: Eukaryota; Viridiplantae; Streptophyta; Magnoliopsida; Poales; Poaceae
Description: partial small subunit ribosomal RNA
Source: RNAcentral
AUGGGGAUCCGGUGUCUUCAUCUAUACCAUCAGAGAAGAAGGCUUGCCAAGAAUGGACGAAGGUAUGAUUCUAGGAAAUCUAGAUUUGAAAGAAGGAAGCACCCGAGGAGCAAUCAAACGGACAUUUCUACGAGUGAACUCGCUAAAGCUGAAGAUCCACCAUCCAAUUUAGGCAUUAGGUAG